RNAcentral lists this transfer RNA (74 nucleotides) under Kluyvera cryocrescens. RNAcentral's name for it is "tRNA-Thr(agt)". Lineage: Bacteria; Pseudomonadati; Pseudomonadota; Gammaproteobacteria; Enterobacterales; Enterobacteriaceae. The record is from RNAcentral.
GCAAACUUGCCGCCGUAGGCGCGGUAGUUGUUAGUAGCGACGAGGAACAUAGCGUUCGGAUCGAUAGGUUUGCC